Schizosaccharomyces pombe (fission yeast) is the source of this 783-nucleotide non-coding RNA. NCBI's taxonomy places the organism in Eukaryota, Fungi, Ascomycota, Schizosaccharomycetes, Schizosaccharomycetales, Schizosaccharomycetaceae. The record is from the annotation of a GenBank genome assembly.
UAAUAAUACAAUAUCCCGCCAAAAAAAAUAAGAAAAAAAUAAAAAUAAAAUAAAUUUAAUAAUAAGCUAAUAUUCACAUUGAUGUUGCUAUAAAGGAUUUACCAAAAUUUCCACGGAUAAUAAGUUUGUUUUCGCCGUCAAAUGACUAUAUUGAGAUUUGAACUUAACUCACGUAUUUGACCUAUAUACGAUACCCUUCUUUAAAAUUUUGUUUGUAUAAAGUUUUUACAAAUGUUCAUUACAACGACUCUUGCUAAGAAAGUAAUAGCUUUUGUAAUGUCAAGUGUAAAUAUCACACACAUAAAACUUAACUUCCACUAAAUUCAUUUAAUUAUGACACUAACUUGAAAGUAUUCAUUUGUGAUAUGGAAAUGGGGCCUUUUAUUAAUUUAUUUUUGCUUUUCAUCAAUAAAUGUGAUCAAUUAACGACUCAUGUUAAUUUUCAAACUACAUCCGAACGCCAUCCAAAUAUAGUUUCUAAAAUUUAAACCUAUAUUUUCAAGCUUUAAAAAUCAUUACAAAGCAGCUUUCAUAAGUCUUUGGCUCUCCUAAAUAUCCCAUUCUUUAACUCACUGCAAGAGGUAAUAAUUUCUUAGACUACACUAAACCAAUUUGCGCUUAAUAGCGAGCCUUAAAAUAAAAAAUCAGUGUAGAGGUUGAAGAAUAUUCAGGAAUCUCAAUAAAAAUAAAAAAAAUAAGGAUCAUAGAAUUAUUUAAAUUAUCCCAAAUUCAUCAAAUUGUAAUGCUGUCCUUUUAGGAAAUUCUGGUUUGCCCUGGAUGACG